UACGGAGGGGGCUAGCGUUGUUCGGAAUUACUGGGCGUAAAGCGCACGUAGGCGGGCGGUCAAGUCGGGGGUGAAAUCCCGGGGCUCAACCCCGGAACUGCCUUCGAUACUGGACGUCUGGAGGCCGGGAGAGGUGGGCGGAAUUCCGAGUGUAGAGGUGAAAUUCGUAGAUAUUCGGAGGAACACCAGUGGCGAAGGCGGCUCACUGGCCCGGUACUGACGCUGAGGUGCGAAAGCGUGGGGAGCAAAC
RNAcentral lists this ribosomal RNA (250 nucleotides) under uncultured bacterium. RNAcentral describes it as "partial 16S ribosomal RNA". It matches the Rfam family "Bacterial small subunit ribosomal RNA", at positions 524 to 773 of the family's 1533-position model. The record is from RNAcentral.